RNAcentral lists this ribosomal RNA (497 nucleotides) under uncultured bacterium. RNAcentral describes it as "partial 16S ribosomal RNA". It matches the Rfam family "Bacterial small subunit ribosomal RNA", at positions 28 to 507 of the family's 1533-position model. The record is from RNAcentral.
GACGAACGCUGGCGGCGUGCCUAAUACAUGCAAGUAGAACGCUGAAGAGAGGAGCUUGCUCUUCUUGGAUGAGUUGCGAACGGGUGAGUAACGCGUAGGUAACCUGCCUUGUAGCGGGGGAUAACUAUUGGAAACGAUAGCUAAUACCGCAUAACAAUGGAUGACACAUGUCAUUUAUUUGAAAGGGGCAAUUGCUCCACUACAAGAUGGACCUGCGUUGUAUUAGCUAGUAGGUGAGGUAAUGGCUCACCUAGGCGACGAUACAUAGCCGACCUGAGAGGGUGAUCGGCCACACUGGGACUGAGACACGGCCCAGACUCCUACGGGAGGCAGCAGUAGGGAAUCUUCGGCAAUGGGGGCAACCCUGACCGAGCAACGCCGCGUGAGUGAAGAAGGUUUUCGGAUCGUAAAGCUCUGUUGUAAGUCAAGAACGGGUGUGAGAGUGGAAAGUUCACACUGUGACGGAAGCUUACCAGAAAGGGACGGCUAACUACGUG